CUGUCCAAUGAUGAUCAAACUACUUUUGUUCUUCUGAUGCGUUGUGUGGAAGCAAUUUGGAGACCUGAACUGAGGAAAU
Triticum aestivum (bread wheat) is the source of this 79-nucleotide non-coding RNA. The record is from Rfam. Lineage: Eukaryota; Viridiplantae; Streptophyta; Magnoliopsida; Poales; Poaceae.